Molecule: long non-coding RNA, 1411 nt
Organism: Helianthus annuus (common sunflower)
Lineage: Eukaryota; Viridiplantae; Streptophyta; Magnoliopsida; Asterales; Asteraceae
Exons: 4
Source: RefSeq, a predicted model, not a curated record
UCAUGAUUUUGCAUAAAGUUUUGAUCUUUUGAUGAUUUUAACAAAAACCCAUGUGUUUUUUAUAAAAAAAAGAUUAUGUGGGUAGUGAUUAUAUGUUUUUUUGUAUAAAGUUUUGAUCUUGUGAUGUGCAGAAGCCCAAGAUGGAGGGACUUGGAGGCAUUGGUGUAAUAGGUGAAAACUUUGAGGGUAGUAUUGGAAGAGUUGCUGGUCAGGUGGAAGUGAUAAUAUUGAAGGUGCAUCUGGUGAUGAACAAGACAUACCUGCUGGACCGUCUUCCAGUUCUCGCAGCAGACACAAGAAAUAUCAUCGGCAUACUCCUUACCAAGUUCAAGAACUUGAAGCUUCCUUUAAAGAUAAUCCUCACCCUGAUGAGAAAGAAAGAUUGGCACUGCGUAAGAAACAGAAUUUGGAAAAUAAGCAAGUCAAGUUUUGGUUUCAGAACAGAAGAACACAAAGGUGAUUAAUUUCAGUUUUUGUUUGUUCUUCUCUAAUAAUUAUAUUCGUUUUUGAUGUGUAAUUUAGUUUUUUUUUUUUUGUCUAUGGCAAGUCAAACUAAAAAAAAACAUUCUCUUUUAAUUUGUCGACAAAACCAACAUUACCUGCCCUUGAGUGUCUUGUUCAUUCAAAUGAUGAAGAGGUGUAUUUUGGCUAUGCGCAAUCGAUCGUCACGAUCGAUAUUCCAACCGCAAUGUUGUGUUUUUUUAGAUCAACAUGAAAGUCCAAGGACCUGUUUGUGUGGGAACAUGGUGUGUCUUCAGGAGACAAGCGUUGUAUAGAUAUGAUGCACCUAAACCUCCUGGCAAAACCUGCAACAGCUUGCCAAAGUCGUGUUGCUGUUAUUUUGGAUAGAAGAGCAAAGGAAAAACAGAGGAGAACCAAAAAAAGUAAGAAGAUGAAGGAAGCUUCAACCCAAAUACAUGCACUCGAGAAUAUUGAAGAAGGAAUUGAAGAUAAAAGUUUGAGAGGAAAUUCGAACUUUGACAUCAAAGGGAGGGGAUGAUGGUGAAUUUGCGGAGUUGUGCCUGUUCAAAUGGACACUAACCCUGCUUGUCUUCAACAUAAUCGAGGUGGUGGUAUGCAUCUCGAUGCAAUCCACAAUGAGUACGAGUCAUUGGGCCGAGUGUUUGGCCAUAUGGGUGAAUAGGUGAUCCAUCAUUUGUAUCAUUUCCUAAAUGCUAGGAUGGGAAAGCAGAGCAAUGAGUCUACCAUCCUUAUUGUAUGCUUAAUCCUUCUAGCCGGUGUGCGUUAAUCCGUUUCUGGACCGAGGUGGGAUCUUGUUGGAGGUAUGUGGGUUAGACUGUGACUGAUCAUAAUCAUACAUAUAGAUGUAGUAACAUAUAUAGCAAGGAGAUGUAUUAAAAAUAUGAAUGUAUAGAUAAAGAAGGGCCUGCUAUAUUUCUUUUUGAUAAAA